Lotus japonicus is the source of this 868-nucleotide long non-coding RNA. RefSeq lists it as uncharacterized. The transcript is spliced from 3 exons. Lineage: Eukaryota; Viridiplantae; Streptophyta; Magnoliopsida; Fabales; Fabaceae. The record is from RefSeq and is a predicted model, not a curated record.
GAGCAACAUUAUGGUUGCUUUGAAUCUGUAGUGUAUCUUGCUCCAAACAGGGUGCAAUCCUCUUCUGACUUUCCUCCUCUGCUACAGGUUAUUUAUAAACUAUGUAUUUGGCACGGGGGAUAUAUCACUUAUGCUUGCACAGGCUGGUUUGAUUGUUUUGAGUCUAAAUUGUGGAUUUAACUCAUGUUGAUAGGCUACAAAUCUCUCAUCUGUUCAUCUUUUAUUGUGAUUUAACUCAAGGUGAAUGUUGAUAAAUAGAGAAUGAUAACUCAGAUCAGUGAUUCUUUGAAUUUUUUUGCCCGUCAGGUUCUCUCUAUCAUGCUGCACAUCAGUAACCUCACCUUUCUCAUCGACUCAAACUCCCUAACCUGUGCGUUUCUAGAUUUGAAAGAUUUAAUCUUGAUUGACCAAGUUUUCUGCAAUGUUUCAGGUUUGCUUCUCUUCUUUUGGUUUUCUCGGUUUUUCUUCUGGUUGUUGUAUCGCGAUUCUACCAGCCCACCACCCUACCUGCACUGAUUUCGGCAUCAAGCGAUUUGAACGCGAAGAUGGAGGCCAUGAUGACCAUUUUGGAAGAUGGAACCCAAGAUCAUGUGCAUUACAAAUGAAAAUAAGAUCUCAUAGAGAUGCUUGAAGAAUUUGGCCAAUCUUACCGUCUUUUAUUCAUAUCAUAUAAUCAAAGUUUAAAACAUCCAGCAAUGUGGUGUUAAUUGGAGCCAAGAAAGCUGUAUCCAACAAGUAAUAAAGCUAUGUCAAAGUGGUUCUUUUUCAAGUAUGUUUUAAUUUACAAUAUUAUUUUGGUCAUUGCUGCCUGAUCUGUCUGUGAUUUAUAUUGUCAUUCGAGUCCCCCUUUGUUGGAUUUGUCACUAUG